GCUGAGCUCAGUAAUGUGGGCUUGUUACCCAAAUGGGGGCAUUAAUGUGGUGGGAUGUUGGGCAUUCCCAAAUGGUUGGACUUGGUGGGCUAGUUUCUGGCCUGCCCUAUCCAAGCACAGAGUUGGAUCACGGGGCCUAAUUGAAAGAAUGGGUUUCUUGAUCCCUAAAGCGGGGUGGACUGCGUGAGGCUGGCUUCACAGAGCAACGAAUAGCUCCCGCUCUGUGCAGUGGAAGGACAACGGGCUGGUGUCUUUCAAGUCCAGUAACGCCUGAUGGGCUGCUCCAGUUAAACCACCUCUUUU
Molecule: non-coding RNA, 303 nt
Organism: Capsicum annuum
Lineage: Eukaryota; Viridiplantae; Streptophyta; Magnoliopsida; Solanales; Solanaceae
Source: Rfam